GAGGGGCCUGUCGGCUUGGGCCAGGCCGACUAGUGCCUGUCGGUUUGGUCAAAGCCGAGGCUGUAUUAUUUUUAAAAAAUUUCAAACUGCAUAUUAUUUUUAAUAUUAAUGAAAAAAAAGUAUUAUUAAAAAAAAAUUAGCCGACAUGUGAGGCAAAGGUGGAUGAUGUGGAUGAGAUCAGCAGGGGUAGGAUUGCACUUCGAAUUGGGGUUUAUUAGCAUGCUUGUGUCCGCUGCGUGGGGUGAAACAAGCGGAUGAUAUGUUGCGGUAG
RNAcentral lists this long non-coding RNA (271 nucleotides) under Brachypodium distachyon (stiff brome). Its description in RNAcentral is "long non-coding RNA (BDIS_LNC001422)". Lineage: Eukaryota; Viridiplantae; Streptophyta; Magnoliopsida; Poales; Poaceae. The record is from RNAcentral.